Molecule: non-coding RNA, 189 nt
Organism: Podarcis lilfordi (Lilford's wall lizard)
Lineage: Eukaryota; Metazoa; Chordata; Lepidosauria; Squamata; Lacertidae
Source: the annotation of a GenBank genome assembly
ACCUUCCCGCCAGAACGGUACCUAUUUAUCUACUUGCACGUUGACGUGCUUUUGAACUGCUAGGUUGGCAGGAGCAGGGACCGAGCAAUGGGAGCUCACCCCGUCGCGAGGAUUUGAAUCGCCGGCCUUUUGAUCAGCACGUCAAAGUGCAAGUAGAUGAAUAGGUACCACUCUUGCGGGAAGGUAAAC